CGCAUAGAUUAGAUGUGUUAUAUCGAUAUCACAGAAUAAUUGUCUGUCAUGGUUCUCGUUAUCUCUGACCACUUAUUUGCCACUAAGAUGGUUCAGAAAUGUACUUUCCAAAAUUAUUGACUUACAUUGGUUUCCACGGGACGAUGAUAUAUAAAAAAAAAAACGGAAAUUUAAUGGAGGAUGACAGACUUCAGAAGAAAGCGUUCUAUCUUUUUAGUUUCUAACUAUCUUUCUUUUUACUUUGUGAUUGCGAAACGUGGGCGACUCUUAUCGCGGAAACAGAGGUGUAAAGUACUUUCUGCCUGAAAGUAAUAUUGAAGGAUUUAACGAAAUAAU
Molecule: long non-coding RNA, 336 nt
Organism: Temnothorax curvispinosus
Lineage: Eukaryota; Metazoa; Arthropoda; Insecta; Hymenoptera; Formicidae
Exons: 3
Source: RefSeq, a predicted model, not a curated record